GUGCCAGCAGCCGCGGUAAUACGGAAGGUCCGGGCGUUAUCCGGAUUUAUUGGGUUUAAAGGGAGCGUAGGCGAAGCUUAAGCGUGUCGUGAAAUGCCGCGGCUCAACCGUGGCACUGCGGCGCGAACUGGGUUUCUUGAGUGUGCUGAAGGCAGGCGGAAUUCGUGGUGUAGCGGUGAAAUGCUUAGAUAUCACGAGGAACUCCGAUUGCGAAGGCAGCUUGCCGUAUCACAACUGACGCUGAAGCUCGAAGGCGCGGGUAUCGAACAGGAUUAGAUACCCUGGUAGUCCGCGCGGUAAACUAUGGAUGCUCGCUGUUGGGCAAUUCUGCUCAGCGGCCAAGCGAAAGCGUUAAGCAUCCCACCUGGGGAGUACGCCGGCAACGGUGAAACUCAAAGGAAUUGACGGGGGCCCGCACAAGCGGAGGAACAUGUGGUUUAAUUCGAUGAUACGCGAGGAACCUUACCCGGGCUUGAACUGCAGAGGAAGGAUUGAGAGAUCAUGACGCCCUUCGGGGCCUCUGUGGAGGUGCUGCAUGGUUGUCGUCAGCUCGUGCCGUGAGGUGUCGGCUUAAGUGCCAUAACGAGCGCAACCCCUGUCUUAAGUUGCCAUCGGGUGAUGCCGGGGACUCUUGAGAUACUGCCACCGCAAGGUGUGAGGAAGGUGGGGAUGACGUCAAAUCAGCACGGCCCUUACGUCCGGGGCUACACACGUGUUACAAUGGCGCGUACAGAGCGUUGGCGCUGGGCAACCAGCGUCUAAUCCCCAAAACGCGUCUCAGUUCGGACCGGGUCUGCAACCCGACCCCGCGAAGCUGGAUUCGCUAGUAAUCGCGCAUCAGCCAUGGCGCGGUGAAUACGUUCCCGGGCCUUGUACACACCGCCCGU
RNAcentral lists this ribosomal RNA (887 nucleotides) under uncultured bacterium. Its description in RNAcentral is "bacterial SSU rRNA". It matches the Rfam family "Bacterial small subunit ribosomal RNA", at positions 505 to 1397 of the family's 1533-position model. The record is from RNAcentral.